UGUCUCAAAGAUUAAGCCAUGCAUGUCAAAGUAUAUACAUUUAUACGGUGAAAACAGUUAUAGUUUAUUUGAUGGUCACUUUUACAUGGAUAACCAUGGUAAUUCUAUGGCUAAUACAUGCGCAAAAGCCACCUUCUCUGGAGGGGCUGUGUUUAGAUACAAAACCAACCCACUUCG
This 177-nucleotide ribosomal RNA is filed under the name Eimeria nenei. RNAcentral describes it as "partial 18S ribosomal RNA". It matches the Rfam family "Eukaryotic small subunit ribosomal RNA", at positions 33 to 234 of the family's 1831-position model. Lineage: Eukaryota; Apicomplexa; Conoidasida; Eucoccidiorida; Eimeriidae. The record is from RNAcentral.